Molecule: non-coding RNA, 45 nt
Filed under: Schistosoma mansoni
Lineage: Eukaryota; Metazoa; Platyhelminthes; Trematoda; Strigeidida; Schistosomatidae
Source: RNAcentral
AUCGAGCUGAGGAGUCUGAAAUGGGACGAAACGCGCGUCCUGGAU